GACGAACGCUGGCGGCGUGCUUAACACAUGCAAGUCGAGCGGAGCGGCGAACGGGUGAGUAACGCGUGAGUAACUGCCCCCCUCUCUGGGAUAAAAGUUGGAAACGGCUGAUAAUAACGGAUAGUGGGGGAUGACUCGCGUCCUAUCGGAUUGUUGGUGGGGUAGUGGCCUACCAAGGCGACGACGGGUAGCCGGCCUGAGAGGGCGAACGGCCCCAGUGGGCUGCGAUACGGCGCAGACGCCUACGGGAGGCAGCAGGGGGGAAUAUUGCACAAUGGGGGAAACCCUGAUGCAGCAACGCGCGGGCGUGAUGACGGUUUUCGGGUUGUAAACCGCGUUCAGCUAUGACGCGGUAGUGGCAGAAGAAGCACCGGCUAACUACGUGCCAGCAGCCGCGGUAAUUC
This 404-nucleotide ribosomal RNA is filed under the name uncultured bacterium. RNAcentral describes it as "partial 16S ribosomal RNA". It matches the Rfam family "Bacterial small subunit ribosomal RNA", at positions 28 to 526 of the family's 1533-position model. The record is from RNAcentral.